UGGGGAAUAUUGGACAAUGGGCGCAAGCCUGAUCCAGCCAUGCCGCGUGAGUGACGAAGGCCUUAGGGUUGUAAAGCUCUUUUGGCGGGGAAGAUAAUGACGGUACCCGCAGAAUAAGCUCCGGCUAACUUCGUGCCAGCAGCCGCGGUAAUACGAAGGGAGCUAGCGUUGUUCGGAAUCACUGGGCGUAAAGCGCACGUAGGUGGGCAGUUAAGUCAGGGGUGAAAGCCCGAGGCUCAACCUCGGAAUUGCCUCUGAUACUGGCUGUCUAGAGUUCGAGAGAGGUGAGUGGAAUUCCAAGUGUAGCAGUGAAAUGCGUAGAUAUUUGGAGGAACACCGAUGGCGAAGGCAGCCCCCUGGGCUAACACUGACGCUCAUGCACGAAAGCGUGGGGAGCAAACAGGAUUAGAUACCCCUGUAGUCCCUGAGCGGGCUGGCAAGGCGCAU
This 447-nucleotide ribosomal RNA is filed under the name uncultured bacterium. Its description in RNAcentral is "bacterial SSU rRNA". It matches the Rfam family "Bacterial small subunit ribosomal RNA", at positions 355 to 825 of the family's 1533-position model. The record is from RNAcentral.